This 70-nucleotide transfer RNA is filed under the name Dipodomys ordii (Ord's kangaroo rat). It matches the Rfam family "tRNA". Rfam says of the family: Transfer RNA (tRNA) molecules are approximately 80 nucleotides in length. Their secondary structure includes four short double-helical elements and three loops (D, anti-codon, and T loops). Lineage: Eukaryota; Metazoa; Chordata; Mammalia; Rodentia; Heteromyidae. The record is from Rfam by way of RNAcentral.
GGGAAGGUGGCUCAGUGGUAGAAUGCUUACCUUCCACGUAUGAGGCCCUAGGUUCGAUUCCUCAGUCCCA